GAAGGGGGGGAUCUUAGGACCUCUCGCUACAGGGGCGGCCGAUGGCAGAUUAGCUAGUUGGUGGGGUAAAGGCCUACCAAGGCGACGAUCUGUAGCUGGUCUGAGAGGACGACCAGCCACACUGGGACUGAGACACGGCCCAGACUCCUACGGGAGGCAGCAGUGGGGAAUUUUGGACAAUGGGCGCAAGCCUGAUCCAGCAAUGCCGCGUGUGUGAAGAAGGCCUUCGGGUUGUAAAGCACUUUUGUCCGGAAAGAAAACGUCGUGGUUAAUACCCGUGGCGGAUGACGGUACCGGAAGAAUAAGCACCGGCUAACUACGUGCCAGCAGCCGCGGUAAUACGUAGGGUGCAAGCGUUAAUCGGAAUUACUGGGCGUAAAGCGUGCGCAGGCGGUCCGCUAAGACAGAUGUGAAAUCCCCGGGCUUAACCUGGGAACUGCAUUUGUGACUGGCGGG
This 456-nucleotide ribosomal RNA is filed under the name uncultured Burkholderia sp. RNAcentral's name for it is "bacterial SSU rRNA". It matches the Rfam family "Bacterial small subunit ribosomal RNA", at positions 189 to 640 of the family's 1533-position model. Lineage: Bacteria; Pseudomonadati; Pseudomonadota; Betaproteobacteria; Burkholderiales; Burkholderiaceae. The record is from RNAcentral.